AAGUCGUAACAAGGUUUUCGUAGGUGAACCUGCGGAAGGAUCAUUACAGAAGCAAGCAUGGCGUAUGCCGUGCCUUGAUGUGUGAACCAAGUGUUGUGGGCGCAAGCCCAAAUGGCGUUGCUAGCACGGACAUGAGAAGCAUACAACUUUCAGCGAUGGAUCUCUUGGCCCUCA
Molecule: unclassified non-coding RNA, 174 nt
Filed under: fungal sp.
Lineage: Eukaryota; Fungi
Description: partial internal transcribed spacer region
Rfam family: Eukaryotic small subunit ribosomal RNA (bases 1-46)
Source: RNAcentral